This 3470-nucleotide long non-coding RNA is filed under the name Nicotiana benthamiana. RNAcentral's name for it is "long non-coding RNA (NBEN_LNC035021)". The record is from RNAcentral. Lineage: Eukaryota; Viridiplantae; Streptophyta; Magnoliopsida; Solanales; Solanaceae.
UAGGGGUGGUGUUAAAAAGGAGGUAUGACACGAACAAAUGUUUAAGUGUAGGAGGAUGUAACGACCCGGCCGGUCGUUGUUAAAAUUUACACCCCGAUCCCCCAUUAACUGCUUCCCCUAAGUUCAUUUCUGCUAUUUUGGUUUGUCGUGACGUCGGUACUGGGUUUUGGAGAGUUUUGGGACAGUUAGUCCCUAAAAGAGAGCUUAAGUGUUGGAAAGAGGUCCGUAGUCGGAACAGUGUGAAGACGACCUCAGAAUGAAAAACUAAUGGUUCUGUUAGCUCCAUUAAGUGAUUUCAGGGUUGGGAGCGUGUUCGGAAUAUAUUUUGGAAGUCCAUAGCUCAUUUAGGCUUGAAACGCUGAAGUCCGAAUUUUUGAAGUUUCCGGUCCGACGGUGAGUUUUUGAUCCGAGGGUCGGAAUGAGAUUCUGAAAGUUGCAGUAGCCUCGUCAUGUCAUUUGGGAUGUGUGUGCAAAAUUUCAGGUCAUUCAGACGUGUUUUGGUUAGGUUUUUAUCGAAAGCGUGUUGUGAUGAAAUUUAAAGUUCUUAGGCUUAAAUCAUUGAUUAAAUCGAAUUUCCGGUGUUGUUUUAGGUGUUUAAGGAUUGGUACAAGUUUGAAUAGGAUGUUAGUUAGAAAAAUCAAAUUGAGCUCGGGGAAGGGCGAUUUUGAGAGGGUUUUGAAGAGGAGAUUAUUGGUAACAUUUCUUUGAUCCCUUCUAGUUAUUUUCAUCAUUAUGUAGUUAAAUCUAUCAUUAAAAUUCGAAUUGAUUUCUUUGAUCCCUUCUAGUUAUAUUUCAUCAUUUUGUAGCUAAAUCUAUCAUUUAAAAUUCGAAUUGAGGAUAAAAAAAAUUGGAAAAAUUGGGUGAAACUUCAUAGGCUAAACUAUUGAGUUUUGAAUGGGCAUUUUACCUCCGAUUUGGGAGAUUUUUAUAUGGUUAGACUCGUGAGAGUACGGGGGUUCUGAAAAUGUAAAAAUUAACUGAUUUCGAGACGUUAUCCUGAGGGGCAAUUUGGUUAUUUUACCUAUUUUCGCGCCUUAGCUCUAAAUUUAAUAGUGGAAUCAGUUGUUUGCAAUGUUAUUUAUGAUAUGUAACAUAAUUGAAUAGAUUUGGGCCAUUUAGAGUCGGAUAUUCGUGGCAAAUGCGUGGUUCCUAGUUGAGUUUGAGCCGGUUCAAGGUAAGUGGCUUGUCUAACCUUGUGUGGGGGACCUUUUCCUUUAGGAUAUAUUAUUUGGUAAUUGACUGCCAUGUACGUGAGGUGACGAGCGCGUACUUGAGCUAAUCAUUGAAAAUUCGGGUUUUACUUAAGAUAUUGAAACUGAGUUUUCUCUCGUAUUUGCUUUAUCUUACUUGUAAUUAUAACCUGUGUUAGAUUAGAAAGACAUGUUAAGUUGAUUUAACCUGCCUACUUGCUUAAAUUGCCUUAACUGCACUGCGUGAGACAUGUUAGGCUAGAACUAUCUGGUGCUUGUAUUGUUGUACUUCAUUUAUGAAUAUUCUCUGAUUGUGGUUGCGCAUUUACAUUUGGACUACGGAUUAGAUUCUCGGGAGAUCCCCCUGUAUAUUUACUUUGGGACUACGAGAUAGAUUCUCGGGAGAUCCCCCUUGUAUAUUUACUUUGGGACUACGGGUUAGAUUCCCGGGAGAUCCCCCUGCAUAUUUACUUUGGGACUACGGGUUAGAUUCCCGGGAGAUCCCCCCUGCAUAUUUACUUUGGGACUACGGGUUAGAUUCCCGGGAGAUCCCCCCUGCACGUUUAUGGAAUGGGCUACAGGACGGUAUCCUGAGAGAUCCUCGUUAUUAGUAUUGAUAUAUAAAUGGACUACAGGGCGGUAUCCAGGGAGAUCCUCGUUAUUCGUAUUGACAUGGAAAUGGACUACAGGAUGGUAUCCUAGGAGAUCCUCGUAAUUGGCACUAAUAUUGAACUGUUUUACUUUAUGUUAUGUUAUCCUCGAUGUGUUGGUUGUUGUUUGUGUAACCUGACUUACUUCACAGUUGUAUUUCCAUUAUUUCUGCUUACUGUAUACUGUUGUCAGCAUUCUUAUUGUAUUGUUUAAUCUCAGUAGGUCACUGACCUUCCUCGUCACUAAUAAGGCUUGGCACUUACUGAGUACUGUUGUGGUGUACUCAUGCCUCUUCUGUGCAUGUUUUUUAUGUUCAGACCCAGGUAUUUCUUAUUAGGCGCACUAUUCCCGAGGCAGAGACGUCUAGUAGAGACUUCGAGGUACAUCUACCGCAUCCGCAGACCAGGAGUCCCUAUCUUAUUCUAGCAUUUAGUAGAUAGUUUUCCCCUUCUUUCAGUUGCUUAGACAUUCUACAGUUAGAGCAAUAUAUUACAUUUCUAUUAGCCUGCGUUGCCCGUGAGUUUUCGGGUUUUGGGAUGAGAUUGUAGACUUCAGCGUUUUAUUGUUGAGUUGUAUAUGCCAAGUGGCACUUAUAUACCGUUUUCUUCUAGUUUUGCUUAAAUUUAUUAAAUGUUCCGCAAGUUAUAUUAUAUUUCUGCAUUGUUAGGCUUACUUAGUUGUAGGAACUAGGUGCCAUCACGACAUGUUCAUGGAGAGUGAACUGUAGAUCGUGACAUUAUUAUUCGUAUAUGUGUAAUCAAUCUUAGGUCUUCAUAUGUCUUGCUAUAGAGAACAAUUAUGCUUUAAAUUCUGAUAAAGAUUAUACCAUGCAUAAUUUUUUUCCUAUGAGUGAUUAGACUUGUAUCAGGCUUGAUGCUGUAGACAUAAUACGCACUUUGAUUAGCUGCCUUGAAGGUUAAUUUUAAUAUUGAAACUGGCUGCUUAAAUAAAUUCUAUUAUUGAGGUCAGCCAGUCUGAUUGUGCACUAAGGACUUACCGACAAUGUUCAUAGAUUUCUUUAGUUAAAUGACAUACUGUACUUAAUCAUAGCAAAUUGCUAUUCCAUUUAUUUCAGCUUAAGAUCGAUUAUGCGAGUGCUUUCGUACACAAUAUAGCAAACGUUAUAAUAGGUAGUUGUGGACCAUUGUCAAAACAAGUUUUGCAUUUGGAAUAUAUGUGAAGAUGGAAUGUGUCUACUUGUUGGAUCAGGAUGUGGUUUGCAUUUGGAGAAUAAGCCUAUAAGAUGAUAUCUCUCUAGGAUUUUUGCAGGUGAUUUUGCUCCUUUUUCUGUGAUUUUGCUGAUGUCAAUACUUUUUUUGCACUACAAAGAAGAAGAACAAUUACAAUAUGGAGAAAAAAUUACCUUUCGUGAAUAUAGAUACCCUCAUGAAUGUAAAAGUUGUCACUUUCGAAGUAAAAUGUAUCUAUUUUUGUCGAUAUGUAAAUUACUAUAUGUUUAUUUAUGUAUAUUUAGUAUUCUCAUGGAUGUGAAUAUUGUGCCACUUUCUAAUGAUGCCUCAAUUUCUAUCUCUUCUAUGCAAUUUCGUAUCAACACAAAUUAAUCACAAAUAGUAAUUCCAUAUUCUACAGUAUUUGGUCGUGCUAUGCACGGCCAGCAACCAUCUAGUU